CAGUCGCCACGGUAACACGAAGGGGGCUAGCGUUGCUCGGAAUUACUGGGCGUAAAGGGCGCGUAGGCGGACAGUUCAGUCGGGGGUGAAAGCCCGGGGCUCAACCUCGGAAUUGCCUUCGAUACUGGCUGUCUUGAGUAUGAGAGAGGUGUGUGGAACUCCGAGUGUAGAGGUGAAAUUCGUAGAUAUUCGGAAGAACACCAGUGGCGAAGGCGACUCGCUGGACAAGUAUUGACGCUGAGGUGCGAAAGCGUGGGGAGCAAACAGGAUUAGAUACCCGCGUAGUCCCUGUCUCUUAUAA
Molecule: ribosomal RNA, 301 nt
Filed under: uncultured bacterium
Lineage: Bacteria
Description: partial 16S ribosomal RNA
Rfam family: Bacterial small subunit ribosomal RNA
Source: RNAcentral